GGAGUUAGCCGGUGCUUCUUCUGUGAGUGAUGUCCUUCCUGCCGGCUAUUAACCCGCAGGCCUUCUUCCUCACUGAAAGUGCUUUACAACCCGAAGGCCUUCUUCACACACGCGGCAUGGCUGGAUCAGGGUUGCCCCCAUUGUCCAAUAUUCCCCACUGCUGCCUACCGUAGGAGUCUGGGCCGUGUCUCAGUCCCAGUGUGGCUGAUCAUCCUCUCAGACCAGCUACGGAUCGUCGCCUUGGUGAGCCGUUACCUCACCAACCAGCUAAUCCGACAUAGGCUCAUCCGAUAGCGCGAGGCCCGAAGGUCCCCCGCUUUCCCCCGUAGGGCGUAUGCGGUAUUAGCCUGGGUUUCCCCAGGUUAUCCCCCACUACCGGGCAGAUUCCUAUGCAUUACUCACCCGUCCGCCGCUCGCCACCAGGGAGCAAGCUCCCCGUGCUGCCGCUCGACUUGCAUGUGUUAGGCCUGCCGCCAGCGUUCAAUCUGAGCCAGAAUCGAACCCUGA
RNAcentral lists this ribosomal RNA (507 nucleotides) under uncultured bacterium. RNAcentral's name for it is "partial 16S ribosomal RNA". The record is from RNAcentral.